This 463-nucleotide ribosomal RNA is filed under the name uncultured bacterium. Its description in RNAcentral is "bacterial SSU rRNA". It matches the Rfam family "Bacterial small subunit ribosomal RNA", at positions 30 to 514 of the family's 1533-position model. The record is from RNAcentral.
CGAACGCUGGCGGCGUGCUUAACACAUGCAAGUCGAGCGAUGAAGCACCUUCGGGUGUGGAUUAGCGGCGAACGGGUGAGGAACACGUGAAGAAUCUGCCUUCAACUCUGGGAUAACUCCGGGAAACCGGGGCUAAUACCGGAUAUGAGCCUUGGCCGCAUGGCCGGGGCUGGAAAGUUUUUCGGUUGAAGAUGACUUCGCGGCCUAUCAGCUUGUUGGUGAGGUAAUGGCUCACCAAGGCGACGACGGGUAGCCGGCCUGAGAGGGCGACCGGCCACACUGGGACUGAGACACGGCCCAGACUCCUACGGGAGGCAGCAGUGGGGAAUAUUGGACAAUGGGCGAAAGCCUGAUCCAGCAAUGCCGCGUGAGUGAUGAAGGCCUUAGGGUUGUAAAGCUCUUUUACCAGGGAUGAUAAUGACAGUACCUGGAGAAUAAGCUCCGGCUAACUCCGUGCCAGCAG